This 743-nucleotide non-coding RNA is filed under the name Arbanatus sp. Lineage: Eukaryota; Metazoa; Arthropoda; Insecta; Hemiptera; Aradidae. The record is from RNAcentral.
AGGAGAUUGAUUCCUGCUCUGAUUUAUCAUUAUUAGAUGGGUUGAAUAUGCGAGGUUUUUAAAGGUUUGGUGAAUGCAAUCUUUAGUUUUACACUUAUGUAAUAAUUUACGAUGUAGCUAAUUUAUUUAGAGUUGGCUAAUUUUGUGCCAGCAGCUGCGGUUAAACAAUUGACUCUAGUGAUAAUUUUCUGGCUGUAUUUAUGUUUAUUUAUUUGGAUCGAAUUGUUUAUUGUUAGGUGGAAUUUUAAUUUUACUUGAGUUUUUGGAUACUAAUUAUACGAAAACUGUUUUUAAACUAGGAUUAGAUACCCUAUUAUUGCAGUUGUAUUUUUUAGCCAUUAAGAUUAAUAGUAGGAUCUUUAAAUUAAGGGGAUUUGGCGGUAAUUUAAUCUUAUCAGAGGAACCUGUUUGUUGAAUUGAUGAACCACGAGGUAUUUUACUUCUAUUUUGCUUGUAUACCUCUAUUUAUUGAGUAUCUUAUUAGGGUAUUCUCUUUAAUCAUUUGUUUGAUGAAUUUUAGGUCAAGGUGCAGCCGUGUAGAAGGCGGAAUGGGUUACAAUUUUUUUAUAAUUGGAUUAAGUUUUUGAGGAAUUUAUGAAAUAGGAUUUGAAAGUAAUACUCAUUAUCUUAUGAGUGUGACUUUAGCUCUAGUUUAUGCACAUAUCGCCCGUCACUCUCGCUUACUAAGGUGAGAUAAGUCGUAACAAAGUAGACUUACCGGAAGGUGAGUCUGGUUUUAUUAU